UGAAAUAAGAUAGAAGAAAAUCUAAAUAAUAUUAUUUGUUGUCUUAUUUAAUUUUUUUAUAAUCAUUUUAGACUAGAUUACAAAAUCCACAACUACAAGGAUUGUGAAAAUAGAUAAAGUAAAAAUUUAAACUUAUGGGUGCAAAUAUAAUAACAAAAUUUUCUUAAAAAAACGCUAUAACUAGAUGACAACUUGUGGAAUUUUCUAAAAUAAUCUUAAGGGAACAUCUCAAACACACCCACAUAAGGAAAGGAGAAAUUCAAACAAAAUAGUACACUUCGGCUGAAGAUCAAAUGGGCAUAUCUUUGUUUGACAAUCAAAAUCUUGAGUACAAAUAACCAUAUUCGCUGAAAUGAAAAAAGAAAAUAAAAGACUUUAGUUGAAUGAGAUAAAAUAAAACAUAGCAAGUAACUGGGGAAAAUUGAAAGGAUAAAAAUUGGUUACCGUCAACGUUCAUUGCAAAAGGAAAUAGGGAAAUAAAGAUAAUUAUAACAUUAACAAAUUUAAUAACUUCAGCCAUAUUUUCAACCCUUUUUUUUUUGGUUACAAUAUUUUCAACCCUUUGCAUUGCAUGUAAGAAAUAUUAUAUAGUUUAAUCACGUUAUAAUUUAUAAAGUACACCCUCUCGUUAGAUACAUUAUAUAGUUUUUAGCGCUUACCGAUUGGUAAAAAAAUCCUUCCUAAAAUUAGAAUCAUUGUUAAAUAUCUCCUAAGUAUAACAAAGUGUUAUUUUUGUCCCUUUAGCAACCUUAGUAAACAGGUCACAUAAAAAACCUAUUGAAUCAAAAUAAUUCAUUUUGUUUUACAAAUAAUCCAUUAUUUUAAAAUUUUUCAUGAGAGAAAAGAAAUAACAAAGAGGAAUAAUAGCAUCGGGUUUUAUGAACCCUAGACUAUAGCAAAGCUAUCACUAAUGUAUAUGAUAUGUUUAAUAUUCAUCAAUAAUUCCUCAAGAUAUCAUUUAUGUUUUUUACUGAAUCAAGAGUGAGGAAAACAUCAAUGAACUGCUGGACAUCCCGACUAGGUCGGCACCCCCAGGGGACUUCAAUCCUCUGCCACUCACCCAUAUAUUAUAUAUAUAGAAAAAAGGGAAAAAAUAUGUACAAGAGGGGAGAAAAACCAAACCUUCAAAAGAAAACAACAAAAAGAAAUUACGGAAAACAAAAAUUAGGUAACCCAAAACGGUCCCUAAAAUAAUACUCCCAAACAAAAACGGGCAUAAUAUCCCAGCAAACCUUGGUGGGGUUUAGCAUGGGAAAGGGAAAGAGUUUCCCACCAUGGGAAAGUAAAUAUUGACCAUUAGAUCAUGUAAAGAACAUAGUUUUAUCAUAGACUCUCAACAUUAAUUUUUUUUUGCUUUAGCUUCCACCACCGCUCUCUCUUCCAUCACCAUUAACCCAUCAGCAACAACAAUAUCAAAAUUUCCUUAAAAUGAAAACACGGUCUCCACUCACCCACCACCAUUAGUAAUUAUUAAACUUUAAUCAUCAUCUUAGUCAAUUGAGAGAUGAAAUACCAAUUUAAUAAAUCAUCUUCUUAAUCUUCACUCACUCACUUGUAACAAAACCCCAAUUUAUUAUUUUAUCACUCACCUUUUC
This 1595-nucleotide long non-coding RNA is filed under the name Medicago truncatula (barrel medic). RNAcentral's name for it is "long non-coding RNA (MTRU_LNC004917)". Lineage: Eukaryota; Viridiplantae; Streptophyta; Magnoliopsida; Fabales; Fabaceae. The record is from RNAcentral.